GGUGUUUAAGGGUUCUGAUGAACCAGACUUGUGCGUUGUUCAGACAAUGAUUCAUUUAGUUUCUCGUACAAAAGAUGUCAGGAAAACAUCUAGUUUUCGCUUAUUUUCUCUCAACUUUUCGUUAAGUUUUUACAUUAUCUAGAUGGCUGAAGACAGUUUUUCUUUAGCAGGCAUUGAUAAAUAUUCUAAAGCUCACUUAUUA
Molecule: long non-coding RNA, 202 nt
Filed under: Mytilus galloprovincialis (Mediterranean mussel)
Lineage: Eukaryota; Metazoa; Mollusca; Bivalvia; Mytilida; Mytilidae
Source: RNAcentral